Molecule: ribosomal RNA, 2690 nt
Filed under: Clostridia bacterium
Lineage: Bacteria; Bacillati; Bacillota; Clostridia
Description: bacterial LSU rRNA
Rfam family: Bacterial large subunit ribosomal RNA
Source: RNAcentral
AGGGCACACGGUGGAUGCCUUGGUGUUCAGGGCCGAUGAAGGACGUGGCAGGCUGCGAUAAGCCGUGGGGAGCUGCGAGCAGGUGUUGAUCCACGGAUUUCCGAAUGGGGAAACCCGGCGGGGGUAAUGCCUCGUCAUCUGACGGUGAACACAUAGCCGUCAAGAGGGUAAGCGAGGGAAUUGAACCAUCUUAGUACCUCGAGGAGAAGAAAUCAAUUGAGAUUCCCCAAGUAGCGGCGAGCGAACGGGGAACAGCCCAAACCGGGUUAGUGUUAGUAGUCUGCAGGCGCUGCUAGCCUGGGGUUGAGGACAUCAUAUACGCUGUCUGCAGAUGGCGUUGCAUACUGUUGCGAGGUUAGGAGAAUGGGACUGGAAAGCCCAGCCAUAGAGGGUGAAAGCCCCGUAUUCGGUUAAGCAGCAGAUGCAUUGGUGAUCCAGAGUACCACGGGGCACGUGAAAUCCUGUGGGAAGCAGGGAGGGCCACCUUCCAAGGCUAAACACCCUGAACGACCGAUAGUGAACGAGUACCGUGAGGGAAAGGUGAAAAGAACCGCGGGAGCGGAGUGAAAUAGAACCUGAAACCGUGUGCUUACAAGCCGUCGGAGUCCCGUGAGGGAUGACGGCGUGCCUUUUGGAGAAUGAGCCGGCGAGUUAUGGUGGGCAGCAAGGUUAAGGGCCGUUCGGUCCGGAGCCGUAGCGAAAGCGAGUCCUAACAGGGCGAUUGAGUUGUCUGCUGUAGACCCGAAACCGGGUGAUCUACCCAUGGCCAGGGUGAAGCGAGGGUAAGACCUCGUGAAGGCCCGAACCUCUCAACGGUGAAAAGUUGUAGGAUGAGCUGUGGGUAGGGGUGAAAUGCUAAUCGAACCCGGCAAUAGCUGGUUCUCCCCGAAAUAGCUUUAGGGCUAGCCUCACGUAAGAGCUGGUGGAGGUAGAGCACUGAUUGGGCAAGGGGCCCACCAAGGUUACCAACCCCAUUCAAACUCCGAAUGCCAUCAGUGAAGCGCGUGGGAGUCAGACUGCGGGGGAUAAGCUUCGUGGUCAAGAGGGAAACAGCCCAGACCGUCAAGUAAGGUCCCUAAGUGCGGACUAAGUGGGAAAGGAUGUCACGGUGUACAGACAGCCAGGAUGUUGGCUUAGAAGCAGCCAUUCAUUUAAAGAGUGCGUAAUAGCUCACUGGUCGAGUGCUGUGGCGCCGAAAAUCCAACGGGGCUAAAGUCCGCCACCGAACUUACGGAUUCGCUUUUCGAAGCGGAUGGUAGGGGAGCAUUCCCUGUGCGCAGAAGUUGUGCUGCGAGGCAUGGUGGAGCGCAGGGAAGAGAGAAUGCCGGCAUGAGUAACGAGAGAGCGGUGAGAAUCCGCUCCGCCGAAAGCCUAAGGUUUCCUGAGGAAGGCUCGUCCUCUCAGGGUAAGUCGGGACCUAAGCCGAGGCCGAAAGGCGUAGGCGAUGGACAACAGGUGGAGAUUCCUGUACCACCACGGAAUCGUUUGAGUGAUGGGGUGACGCAGAAGGGUAGGCACAGCGGGCAGUUGGAGGUCCGUCCAAGCGGAUAGGGUGAUGCUGGAGGCAAAUCCCCGGCAUCGAUAAGCCUGAGCCGUGAUGGGGAGCGAAGUUUAGUAGCGAACUGGCCGAUCCCACACUGCCGAGAAAAGCCUCUAGCGAGAUUCCUGGUGCCCGUACCGCAAACCGACACAGGUAGGCAGGGAGAGAAUCCCAAGGCGAGCGGGAUAACCCUUGUUAAGGAACUCGGCAAAUUGACCCCGUAACUUCGGGAGAAGGGGUGCCCGGGUCUGUGACCACCUUCGCGGUGGAAGCGGAUCUGGGUCGCAGAGAACAGGCCCAAGCGACUGUUUACCAAAAACACAGGUCCCUGCGAAAUCGUAAGAUGAAGUAUAGGGGCUGACGCCUGCCCGGUGCUGGAAGGUUAAGGGGAAGAGUUAGUCUUCGGGCGAAGCUCUGAACCAAAGCCCCAGUAAACGGCGGCCGUAACUAUAACGGUCCUAAGGUAGCGAAAUUCCUUGUCGGGUAAGUUCCGACCCGCACGAAUGGCGUAACGACUUGGGCGCUGUCUCAACAAGGGACCCGGUGAAAUUGCAGGACCGGUAAAGAUGCCGGUUACCCGCGACUGGACGGAAAGACCCCGUGGAGCUUUACUGCAACUUGGCAUUGGAGUUUGGUCUAUCAUGUACAGGAUAGGUGGGAGGCUGGGACGCCGGGACGCUAGUUUCGGCUGAGCCGCUGGUGGAAUACCACCCUUGAUAUGCGGAACUUCUAACCUUCACCGUCAUCCGGUGCGGGAACAGUGUCUGGUAGGCAGUUUGACUGGGGCGGUCGCCUCCCAAAAGGUAACGGAGGCGCCCAAAGGUUCCCUCAGCACGGUCGGAAAUCGUGCGCAGAGUGUAAAGGCACAAGGGAGCUUGACUGCGAGAGGGACACCUCGAGCAGGUGGGAAACCAGGGCUUAGUGAUCCUGCGGUCCUGAGUGGCAGGGCCGUCGCUUAACGGAUAAAAGUUACCCCGGGGAUAACAGGCUUAUCUCCCCCAAGAGUUCAUAUCGACGGGGAGGCUUGGCACCUCGAUGUCGGCUCAUCGCAUCCUGGGGCUGGAGCAGGUCCCAAGGGUAUGGCUGUUCGCCAUUUAAAGCGGUACGUGAGCUGGGUUCAGAACGUCGCGAGACAGUUCGGUCCCUAUCU